GGAGGAAAAGAAACCAACAGGGAUUGCCUUAGUAACGGCGAGUGAAGCGGCAACAGCUCAAAUUUGAAAGCUGGCCCCCUCGGGGUCCGCGUUGUAAUUUGUAGAGGAUGAUUCGGCGACGGCUCCCGCCUAAGUCCCUUGGAACAGGGCGUCAUAGAGGGUGAGAAUCCCGUAUGUGGUGGGCUGCCUUAGCCAUGUGAAUCUCCUUCGACGAGUCGAGUUGUUUGGGAAUGCAGCUCUAAAUGGGAGGUAAAUUUCUUCUAAAGCUAAAUACCGGCCAGAGACCGAUAGCGCACAAGUAGAGUGAUCGAAAGAUGAAAAGCACUUUGGAAAGAGAGUUAAAAAGUACGUGAAAUUGUUGAAAGGGAAGCGCUUGCAGCCAGACUUGUCCGCAGUUGCUCAGCUUGUCUCCUGACAGGCGUACUCUUCUGCGGCCAGGCCAGCAUCAGUUCGGGCGGUCGGAUAAAGACCUGGGGAAUGUAGCUCCUCUCGGGGAGUGUUAUAGCCCUGGGUGCAAUGCGGCCAGCCUGGACUGAGGAUCUCGCUUCGGCUAGGAUGCUGGCGUAAUGGCUGUAAGCGGCCCGU
This 585-nucleotide small RNA is filed under the name Neofusicoccum luteum. Its description in RNAcentral is "eukaryotic LSU rRNA". It matches the Rfam family "Eukaryotic large subunit ribosomal RNA", at positions 52 to 652 of the family's 3401-position model. Lineage: Eukaryota; Fungi; Ascomycota; Dothideomycetes; Botryosphaeriales; Botryosphaeriaceae. The record is from RNAcentral.